CCAGGCACGGUGUGGUGACAAAGAGCCAGUCCUUGGGGGGGACUGCCCCCUUUGAACUGCCCUGGGUUCCGGCUGGCGCCUCUGAAACUCACUUCCUCCGGGAGAAACCUCCAGAAUGGAGAUUGGAUGGGGUUGGGGGAGCCGGUUCCUACCUCACACAUACAAGUAAAAAUCUGAGUAAACGACCAGCUGCUUGUGUUCACAGUUUGAGAAAACGUCCCAGAUUCUCUCCCUGCAGUCGGUGAUGGCUUUCUUACCUACUUGGAAAAUGAAGAGAAAAGAAAAUAAGCAUGUAGUAAAACAGAGUAAACUUGAUUGAAGAAUUCAUGCAUUUAACUGGUUACUUGUUGCAA
This is a long non-coding RNA of Pipistrellus kuhlii (Kuhl's pipistrelle), 353 nucleotides long. RefSeq lists it as uncharacterized. The transcript has 3 exons. The record is from RefSeq and is a predicted model, not a curated record. Lineage: Eukaryota; Metazoa; Chordata; Mammalia; Chiroptera; Vespertilionidae.